Molecule: ribosomal RNA, 1528 nt
Filed under: Klebsiella quasipneumoniae
Lineage: Bacteria; Pseudomonadati; Pseudomonadota; Gammaproteobacteria; Enterobacterales; Enterobacteriaceae
Description: bacterial SSU rRNA
Rfam family: Bacterial small subunit ribosomal RNA
Source: RNAcentral
AGAGUUUGAUCAUGGCUCAGAUUGAACGCUGGCGGCAGGCCUAACACAUGCAAGUCGAGCGGUAGCACAGAGAGCUUGCUCUCGGGUGACGAGCGGCGGACGGGUGAGUAAUGUCUGGGAAACUGCCUGAUGGAGGGGGAUAACUACUGGAAACGGUAGCUAAUACCGCAUAACGUCGCAAGACCAAAGUGGGGGACCUUCGGGCCUCAUGCCAUCAGAUGUGCCCAGAUGGGAUUAGCUAGUAGGUGGGGUAACGGCUCACCUAGGCGACGAUCCCUAGCUGGUCUGAGAGGAUGACCAGCCACACUGGAACUGAGACACGGUCCAGACUCCUACGGGAGGCAGCAGUGGGGAAUAUUGCACAAUGGGCGCAAGCCUGAUGCAGCCAUGCCGCGUGUAUGAAGAAGGCCUUCGGGUUGUAAAGUACUUUCAGCGGGGAGGAAGGCGAUAAGGUUAAUAACCUUGUCGAUUGACGUUACCCGCAGAAGAAGCACCGGCUAACUCCGUGCCAGCAGCCGCGGUAAUACGGAGGGUGCAAGCGUUAAUCGGAAUUACUGGGCGUAAAGCGCACGCAGGCGGUCUGUCAAGUCGGAUGUGAAAUCCCCGGGCUCAACCUGGGAACUGCAUUCGAAACUGGCAGGCUAGAGUCUUGUAGAGGGGGGUAGAAUUCCAGGUGUAGCGGUGAAAUGCGUAGAGAUCUGGAGGAAUACCGGUGGCGAAGGCGGCCCCCUGGACAAAGACUGACGCUCAGGUGCGAAAGCGUGGGGAGCAAACAGGAUUAGAUACCCUGGUAGUCCACGCCGUAAACGAUGUCGAUUUGGAGGUUGUGCCCUUGAGGCGUGGCUUCCGGAGCUAACGCGUUAAAUCGACCGCCUGGGGAGUACGGCCGCAAGGUUAAAACUCAAAUGAAUUGACGGGGGCCCGCAUAAGCGGUGGAGCAUGUGGUUUAAUUCGAUGCAACGCGAAGAACCUUACCUGGUCUUGACAUCCACAGAACUUAGCAGAGAUGCUUUGGUGCCUUCGGGAACUGUGAGACAGGUGCUGCAUGGCUGUCGUCAGCUCGUGUUGUGAAAUGUUGGGUUAAGUCCCGCAACGAGCGCAACCCUUAUCCUUUGUUGCCAGCGGUUAGGCCGGGAACUCAAAGGAGACUGCCAGUGAUAAACUGGAGGAAGGUGGGGAUGACGUCAAGUCAUCAUGGCCCUUACGACCAGGGCUACACACGUGCUACAAUGGCGCAUACAAAGAGAAGCGACCUCGCGAGAGCAAGCGGACCUCAUAAAGUGCGUCGUAGUCCGGAUUGGAGUCUGCAACUCGACUCCAUGAAGUCGGAAUCGCUAGUAAUCGUAGAUCAGAAUGCUACGGUGAAUACGUUCCCGGGCCUUGUACACACCGCCCGUCACACCAUGGGAGUGGGUUGCAAAAGAAGUAGGUAGCUUAACCUUCGGGAGGGCGCUUACCACUUUGUGAUUCAUGACUGGGGUGAAGUCGUAACAAGGUAACCGUAGGGGAACCUGCGGUUGGAUCACCU